RNAcentral lists this ribosomal RNA (505 nucleotides) under uncultured bacterium. Its description in RNAcentral is "partial 16S ribosomal RNA". It matches the Rfam family "Bacterial small subunit ribosomal RNA", at positions 28 to 507 of the family's 1533-position model. The record is from RNAcentral.
GACGAACGCUGGCGGCGUGCCUAAUACAUGCAAGUAGAACGAACAGACUAUACCGUAGCUUGUCACACCAUAGACUGUGAGUUGCGAACGGGAGAGUAACGCGUAGGUAACCAGCCUGGUAGCGGGGGAGAAAAAUGGGAAACGAAAGCUAAAACCGCAUAAUAUUGAUUAUUGCAUGAUAAAUGAUGGAAAGAUGCUAUUGCAUCAAUACCAGAUGGACCCGUGUUGUAUUAGCUAGUAGGAGAGGUAACGGGUCACCUAGGCGACGAUAAAUAGCCGACCUUAGAGGGUGAUCCGCCCCACUGGGACUUGGGCACGGCCCAGACUCCUUCGGGAAGCAGCAGUAAGGAAUCUUCCGCAAUUGGCGGAAGUCUUGCCGGACCACGCCGCGUGGGUGAAUGAGGUUCUCGGGUCGUUAAGCUCUGUUGUAUGGGGAGGACGAGUGUGGUAGUGGAAUGUUCACGCUUUGACGGUAUCUUACCAGAAAGGGACGGCUAACUACGUG